CUUUUUGUAUAUAUUUAAAGUCGUACCUGCUCACUGAAAUAUUAAAGAGCCGCGGUAUUUUGACCGUGCAAAGGUAGCAUAAUCAUUAGUCUUUUAAUUGAAGACUGGAAUGAAUGGUUUGACGAAAUGAUGACUGUCUUAGGAUUAUAAUUUGAAAUUUACUUUUAAGUUAAAAGGCUUAAAUACUAAUAAGGGACGAGAAGACCCUAUAGAUCUUAAUAUAAAUAAAUUAUUAUUAAUUAUAGUUGUUUUUUAAGUAUUAAUUUAUUAUUAUUUGGUUGGGGUGAUGUGAGAAUAUUUUAACUUCUUAUAUAUGUACUUUGAUGAAUGAAUUAUUGAUUUUGUAUUAUGGAAUAAAGAUAAAGAUACCUUAGGGAUAACAGCGUAAUUUUAUUUGAGAGUUCAAAUUGACAAUAAAGAUUGCGACCUCGAUGUUGGAUUAAAAUUAUUAAUUAGUGCAGUAGUUAAUUAAAUUGGUCUGUUC
Molecule: ribosomal RNA, 484 nt
Filed under: Antillicharis antillarum
Lineage: Eukaryota; Metazoa; Arthropoda; Insecta; Orthoptera; Gryllidae
Description: partial 16S ribosomal RNA
Rfam family: Bacterial large subunit ribosomal RNA
Source: RNAcentral